This 678-nucleotide ribosomal RNA is filed under the name uncultured marine bacterium. RNAcentral describes it as "bacterial SSU rRNA". It matches the Rfam family "Bacterial small subunit ribosomal RNA", at positions 54 to 777 of the family's 1533-position model. The record is from RNAcentral.
CAUGCAAGUCGAACGAAGUAGCAAUACUUAGUGGCAGACGGGUGAGUAACAUGUAGGUAUCUGCCCUUUGGCCUGGAAUAACACGAGGAAACUUGUGCUAAUACCGGAUAAGUCUUUACGGAGAAAGCUUUAUGCACCAUUGGAUGAGCCUGCACUUGAUUAGUUUGUUGGUAGGGUAAUGGCCUACCAAGACUGUGAUCAAUAGCUGAUUUGAGAGGAUGAUCAGCCACAUUGGGACUGAGACACGGCCCAAACUCCUACGGGAGGCAGCAGUGGGGAAUCUUGCACAAUGGAGGAAACUCUGAUGCAGCGAUGCCGCGUGAGUGAAGAGGGCCCUUGGGUUGUAAAGCUCUUUCGUCGGGGAAGAAAAUGACUGUACCCGAAUAAGAAGGUCCGGCUAACUUCGUGCCAGCAGCCGCGGUAAUACGAAGGGACCUAGCGUAGUUCGGAAUUACUGGGCUUAAAGAGUUCGUAGGUUGUUGAAAUAGUUGGUGGUGAAAUCCCAGAGCUUAACUCUGGAACUGCCAUCAAAACUUUUCAGCUAGAGUAUGAUAGAGGAAAGCAGAAUUUCUAGUGUAGAGGUGAAAUUCGUAGAUAUUAGAAAGAAUACCAAUUGCGAAAGCAGCUUUCUGGAUCAUUACUGACACUGAGGAACGAAAGCAUGGGUAGCGAAGAGGA